RNAcentral lists this ribosomal RNA (549 nucleotides) under Delectopecten vitreus. RNAcentral describes it as "partial 16S ribosomal RNA". It matches the Rfam family "Bacterial large subunit ribosomal RNA", at positions 1818 to 2597 of the family's 2925-position model. The record is from RNAcentral. Lineage: Eukaryota; Metazoa; Mollusca; Bivalvia; Pectinida; Pectinidae.
GCUUCCUGAAAAGCAUGGGAAGUCGUGCCUUCCCAGUGGGCAUACGAGCCUAAACGGACGCGGUAAAUCGUGCUAAGGUAGCUAAAUUAUGGCCUAUUAAUUGUAGGUCCUGUGAAUGGUUUGACGAGUGUUCGACUGUCUCUAGGUUGUUUUGGUGAACUUGAAUUGAAUGUGUAAAUGCUUUCGUGGGUAAGAAAGACGAGAAGACCCCGUGAAGUUAAAAAUUUUAGCGUAUGAGAAUGUUAUUUCCUGUUGGUGAAGACCAAAAUGUUGUAAAGCUUGGUUGGCUUUUAAGUGGGGGAGUGUAGUGAUUGUUUUGGCUGGGGCAGCAAAAAGGCAAAUCUAGACCUUAAUUAGAGUUAAAACGGGUGCGUUACGACCCACAGAUAAAAAGGUGUGAUUAGCAGAAGGAGUUACUCCGGGGAUAACAGCGUUAUCCGUCCUGAGAGUUCUUAUUGGCGGACGGGUUUGCGACCUCGAUGUUGGCUCUUGAUAUCCUGGGGCUUGCAGUUGGUCCCAAGGGUUGGUUCGUUCGCCCAUUAAAAUCUG